GCUUCCUUGGCUCAGUUGGCAGAGCGUAGGUCUCAUAUUCUAUGAGCAGUCAAAUGACUGUGAAAUCCUAAGGUCGCAAGUUCGAGCCUUGCAGCGAGCA
RNAcentral lists this transfer RNA (100 nucleotides) under Amylostereum chailletii. RNAcentral describes it as "tRNA-Met". It matches the Rfam family "tRNA". Rfam says of the family: Transfer RNA (tRNA) molecules are approximately 80 nucleotides in length. Their secondary structure includes four short double-helical elements and three loops (D, anti-codon, and T loops). The record is from RNAcentral. Lineage: Eukaryota; Fungi; Basidiomycota; Agaricomycetes; Russulales; Stereaceae.